AAAAAAAAAAAAAAAAAAAAAAAAAAGCAGCAUUUGUUUCCUAUGGAGGUGAGCAUACGGAUAUUCAGACAGUGAGAUGCCUGGAUACUCACUCCCGCUUACUCUAUCCACACAAGACCCUCUGAAGUGGCAGCAGAAGCUUGGUGGUCCCCUUUCCCAGCAGGGAAGCCUGGUACAGGCCUUGCCUGAGGCUGCACAGGGCCUGGGAGACGGUAGAUGCUCAAAGGAUGCUGAAAUGAGUGAGAGAUGCGCUAUCCCGGGGCAACCUGGGGGCUCUACAGAGAGAGCGUGAACCCCGAGGGCCACGAUGGGAUUCGAGGGGUUCACUUCUGCAACGCUGGCACCCAGCACAGGCUAUGCAGCCAACACACACCUAACAGAUGGAAUUGCAGCUACAUAACCCAAUGUGCAGAAGACAGGAGAGAUGGACAGACACCGGGCACGCUGCAUCUGAGACCCAGUCGAUCAGGGUAAUACCCUGGGCACCCUGUGGCUUUUAAACCUGCCAGCAGCUCCCCACUCCUCAGGGGUGGGGACCCGGCCCCAAGACCACCAGCCCUGAAUGGAAUCCUAUCACCGUGUGUCCAGGCUGGGGCUGCCAUCAAAUAAAAUCUACAACCAAGUCAAGUGACACCUGUUUUGUGACAGGCACACCCAUCAGUGGGCCACUCAGUCCAAACUGGGGAAUGAAAGGUAACAAGCAGUUUACAGGAACAACAUCCAUUCAUAUAACUUGGAAGGCCGGCUGCAGCCCUGGCUC
Molecule: long non-coding RNA, 760 nt
Organism: Globicephala melas (long-finned pilot whale)
Lineage: Eukaryota; Metazoa; Chordata; Mammalia; Artiodactyla; Delphinidae
Source: RefSeq, a predicted model, not a curated record